Molecule: ribosomal RNA, 484 nt
Filed under: uncultured bacterium
Lineage: Bacteria
Description: partial 16S ribosomal RNA
Rfam family: Bacterial small subunit ribosomal RNA
Source: RNAcentral
AUUGAACGGGGGAGGAAGGAAGAACACAUGCAAGUCGAGCGGAUGAAGGGAGCUUGCUCCUGGAUUCAGCGGCGGACGGGUGAGUAAUGCCUAGGAAUCUGCCUGGUAGUGGGGGAUAACGUCCGGAAACGGGCGCUAAUACCGCAUACGUCCUGAGGGAGAAAGUGGGGGAUCUUCGGACCUCACGCUAUCAGAUGAGCCUAGGUCGGAUUAGCUAGUUGGUGGGGUAAAGGCCUACCAAGGCGACGAUCCGUAACUGGUCUGAGAGGAUGAUCAGUCACACUGGAACUGAGACACGGUCCAGACUCCUACGGGAGGCAGCAGUGGGGAAUAUUGGACAAUGGGCGAAAGCCUGAUCCAGCCAUGCCGCGUGUGUGAAGAAGGUCUUCGGAUUGUAAAGCACUUACAGUUGGGAGGAAGGGCAGUAAGUUAAUACCUUGCUGUUUUGACGUUACCAACAGAAUAAGCACUGGCUACCUUCGUG